GGUACCUGGAAUCAGCCUCGGCUAACUCUGUGCCAGCAGCCGCGGUAAGACAGAGGAGGCAAGCGUUAUCCGGAAUUAUUGGGCGUAAAGCGUCCGUAGGUGGUUUGACAAGUCUGGGGUCAAAGCCCGGAGCCCAACUCCGGAUCGGCCUUGGAAACUGUCAGACUGGAGUAAGGUAGGGGUUGCGGGAAUUCCCGGUGUAGCGGUGAAAUGCGUAGAUAUCGGGAAGAACACCAGCGGCGAAAGCGCGCAACUGGGCCAUUACUGACACUGAGGGACGAAAGCUAGGGGAGCGAAUGGGAUUAGAUACCCCAGUAGUC
Molecule: ribosomal RNA, 320 nt
Filed under: uncultured cyanobacterium
Lineage: Bacteria; Bacillati; Cyanobacteriota
Description: bacterial SSU rRNA
Rfam family: Bacterial small subunit ribosomal RNA
Source: RNAcentral